GCAAGUCGGACGAUGAAGCCCUUCGGGGUGGAUUAGUGGCGAACGGGUGAGUAACACGUGAGCAACCUGCCCUUGACUCUGGGAUAAGCCUGGGAAACUGGGUCUAAUACCGGAUAGUACCCCUUGCCGCAUGGUGGGGGGUGGAAAGCCUUGUGCGGUCUUGGAUGGGCUCGCGGCCUAUCAGCUUGUUGGUGGGGUGAUGGCCUACCAAGGCGACGACGGGUAGCCGGCCUGAGAGGGUGACCGGCCACACUGGGACUGAGACACGGCCCAGACUCCUACGGGAGGCAGCAGUGGGGAAUAUUGCACAAUGGGCGGAAGCCUGAUGCAGCGACGCCGCGUGGGGGAUGACGGCCUUCGGGUUGUAAACCCCUUUCGGCAGGGAACAAGCCGCUUCGGUGGUGAGGGUACCUGCGGAAGAAGCGCCGGCUAACUACGUGCCAGCAGCCGCGGUAAUACGUAGGGCGCGAGCGUUAUCCGGAAUUAUUGGGCGUAAAGAGCUCGUAGGCGGUUUGUCGCGUCUGCUGUGAAAGCCCGGGGCUCAACCCCGGGUCUGCAGUGGGUACGGGCAGGCUGGAGUGCAGUAGGGGAGACUGGAAUUCCUGGUGUAGCGGUGAAAUGCGCAGAUAUCAGGAGGAACACCGAUGGCGAAGGCAGGUCUCUGG
This 665-nucleotide ribosomal RNA is filed under the name Sinomonas atrocyanea. Its description in RNAcentral is "bacterial SSU rRNA". It matches the Rfam family "Bacterial small subunit ribosomal RNA", at positions 57 to 732 of the family's 1533-position model. The record is from RNAcentral. Lineage: Bacteria; Bacillati; Actinomycetota; Actinomycetes; Micrococcales; Micrococcaceae.